CAUACGCCUUGAGGGAGAAAGAUUUAUCGCCCUGGGAUGAGCCCGCGUUGGAUUAGCUAGUUGGUGAGGUAAAGGCUCACCAAGGCGACGAUCCAUAGCUGGUCUGAGAGGAUGAUCAGCCACACUGGGACUGAGACACGGCCCAGACUCCUACGGGAGGCAGCAGUGGGGAAUAUUGGACAAUGGGGGCAACCCUGAUCCAGCCAUGCCGCGUGUGUGAAGAAGGCCUUAGGGUUGUAAAGCACUUUCACCGGUGAAGAUGAUGACGGUAGCCGGAGAAGAAGCCCCGGCUAACUCCGUGCCAGCAGCCGCGGUAAUACGGAGGGGGCAAGCGUUGUUCGGAAUGACUGGGCGUAAAGGGCGCGUAGCGGACGUGCAAGUUGGGGGUGAAAGGCCUGGGCUCAACCCAGGAACUGCCCUCAAAACUGUGUGUCUAGAGUUCGGAAGAGGAUGGCGGAAUUCCCAGUGUAGAGGUGAAAUUCGUAGAUAUUGGGAAGAACACCGGUGGCGAAGGGGCCAUCUGGUCCGAUACUGACGCUGAGGCGCGAAAGUGGGGAGCAAACAGGAUUAGAUACCCUGGUAGUCCACGCCGUAAACGAUGUGUGCUAGCCGUUGGG
This 617-nucleotide ribosomal RNA is filed under the name uncultured bacterium. RNAcentral describes it as "bacterial SSU rRNA". It matches the Rfam family "Bacterial small subunit ribosomal RNA", at positions 187 to 827 of the family's 1533-position model. The record is from RNAcentral.